RNAcentral lists this ribosomal RNA (497 nucleotides) under uncultured bacterium. RNAcentral describes it as "partial 16S ribosomal RNA". It matches the Rfam family "Bacterial small subunit ribosomal RNA", at positions 28 to 507 of the family's 1533-position model. The record is from RNAcentral.
GAUGAACGCUGGCGGCGUGCCUAAUACAUGCAAGUCGAGCGAACGAACGAGAAUCUUGCUUCUCUUAUGUUAGCGGCGGGCGGGUGAGUAACACGUGGAUAACCUACAUUUAAGACUGGGAUAACUUAGGGAAACCGGAGCUAACACCGGAUAAUAUUUUGAAACGCAUGGUUCAACAGUGAUAGACGGUCUUGCUGUCACUUAUAGAUGGUUCCGCGCUGCAUUAGGUAGUUGGUAAGGUAACGGCUUACCAAGGCAACGAUGCAUAGCCGACCUGAGAGGGUGAUCGGCCACACUGGAACUGAGACACGGUCCAGACUCCUACGGGAGGCAGCAGUAGGGAAUCUUCCGCAAUGGGCGAAAGCCUGACGGAGCAACGCCGCGUGAGUGAUGAAGGUCUUCGGAUCGUAAAACUCUGUUAUUAGGGAAGAACAUAUGUGUAAGUAACUGUGCACAUCUUGACGGUACCUAAUCAGAAAGCCACGGCUAACUACGUG